UACGGGGGGGGCAAGCGUUGUUCGGAAUUACUGGGCGUAAAGGGCUCGUAGGCGGCCAACUAAGUCAGACGUGAAAUCCCUCGGCUUAACCGGGGAACUGCGUCUGAUACUGGAUGGCUAGAGGUUGGGAGAGGGAUGCGGAAUUCCAGGUGUAGCGGUGAAAUGCGUAGAUAUCAGGAGGAAUACCGAUGGCGAAGGCAGGUCUCUGGGCUAUAACUGACGCUCAUGCACGAAAGCGUGGGGAGCAAACAGG
Molecule: ribosomal RNA, 253 nt
Filed under: uncultured bacterium
Lineage: Bacteria
Description: partial 16S ribosomal RNA
Rfam family: Bacterial small subunit ribosomal RNA
Source: RNAcentral